AAUUUAAAGUCUAAUCUGCCCNCUGAUAAUAUAUUAAAGGGCUGCAGUAUAUUGACUGUACAAAGGUAGCAUAAUCAUUAGUCUUUUAAUUGAAGACUUGUAUGAAAGAUUUGAUGAAAUAUAAACUGUCUCUAAUUUAUGUUUAGAAAUUAAUUUUUUAGUUAAAAAGCUAAAAUGACAUUAAAAGACGAGAAGACCCUAUAGAGUUUUAUAUUUUAUUUAAUUAAUAUUAAAUAUAUAAUUAAAUAUAUUAAUUAAAUAAAUUAUUGUGUUGGGGUGAUAGAAAAAUUUAAUAAACUUUUUUUAAAUUUAAACAUAAAUAAGUGGUUGAUUGAUCCAUUAAUAAUGAUUAAAAGAAAAAAUUACCUUAGGGAUAACAGCGUAAUAUUUUUUUUUAGUACUUAUAAAAAAAAAAGUUUGCGACCUCGAUGUUGGAUUAAGAUAAAAUUUAAAUGCAAAAGUUUAAAGUUUUGAUCUGUUCGAUCAUUAAAAUCUUACAUGA
RNAcentral lists this ribosomal RNA (502 nucleotides) under Junonia lemonias. RNAcentral describes it as "partial 16S ribosomal RNA". It matches the Rfam family "Bacterial large subunit ribosomal RNA", at positions 1844 to 2603 of the family's 2925-position model. The record is from RNAcentral. Lineage: Eukaryota; Metazoa; Arthropoda; Insecta; Lepidoptera; Nymphalidae.